Oncorhynchus keta (chum salmon) is the source of this 1558-nucleotide long non-coding RNA. RefSeq lists it as uncharacterized. The record is from RefSeq and is a predicted model, not a curated record. The transcript has 5 exons. NCBI's taxonomy places the organism in Eukaryota, Metazoa, Chordata, Actinopteri, Salmoniformes, Salmonidae.
AGCACAAAACAUCCAUUUAAUCUGAGGUAUCUAUUACAAUCAUGUACAAGUCCUGUGGAAAUGAACACUCACAGACAGCUGAUAGAAAACACUUUGUAAGACCCACGUCAGACCAGACAGGCUGUAGCUGUCAACCCCUGGGACAAUGACAGCGUGGCUGGGGUCAAAUCUAAUCCAAUUAUGUUAGUUCUAGAAGGUGAAUUGAGAAAUUCUAGACUCAAAAAGUGCCUUGCAUUUUCAACAGGGGACAUUCCUUUCUGUUCCUCAAUUGGAAUUAUGAUUCAGGUUCUGAAUUUCCUGAAUGGAAUGUACUCCUACCACUGACUGUGACAUAAUACUGUAGUGGACAGAGAAUUAUGUUACUCUUCAUGUUUCAGCUUAGUCAAUAGAAGGGAUAUGUAAUACUGUAUGGGACUUAAACUGAAAUCAAGUCAAACAAAGCAACCCUACUUGUUCAUGGUAAAGAAGAGAAUUGUGGGGAUAGGCAGUGUGCUAGGAUUCAAAUGUUUCUUUAAAACGGUUCAAACUGCUCCUCUUUAUUGAUACGACACUUGUUUGAAUAGUAGAGGGACAUCGAUAAUGUAAUAAAAGGCACCGUAACAAGGCUGGUUGUUUUUCAUACGUUUGUAUGAAAAAAAAUUAAAAUAAACACUCUUCCCACUGGCCUCCAUUUAGCGUUUCUGUGCACAAUCAACACAAACCUGCAGAAUUGAUAUGGACCGUAGUCUGUUGUUGAUCAUAUUAGGGGACCAAUGAAGUCAUAUUUACCCUAUUCUAUAACCAGUCAGUCACGGGGCGGCGCACCAUCUUAGAGGCUCUAGCAAAAUGGCUAUGUAGCACCUCUGACAUACAGAACAAUACAAUCACUAGCUGUUUUUGUUCUGGUGUCUCACAUACCUUUACAUGUCUAUGUUGAAGUACCACGUUGGGAGGAGGUGUGUGGAGGGGAGAGUACCACGUCGGGAGGAGGUGUGUGGAGGGGAGAGUAUCACGUCGGGAGGAGGUGUGUGGAGGGGAGAGUACCACGUCGGGAGGAGGUGUGUAGAGGGGAGAGUACCACGUCGGGAGGAGGUGUGUGGAGGGGAGAGUACCACGUCGGGAGGAGGUGUGUGGAGGGGAGAGUAUCACGUCGGGAGGAGGUGUGUGUGUGUGGAGGGGAGAGUAUCACGUCAGGAGGAGGUGUGUGGAGGGGAGAGUACCACGUCGGGAGGAGGUGUGUAGAGGGGAGAGUACCACGUCGGGAGGAGGUGUGUGGAGGGGAGAGUACCACGUCGGGAGGAGGUGUGUGGAGGGGAGAGUACCACGUCGGGAGGAGGUGUGUGGAGGGGAGAGUACCACGUCGGGAGGAGGUGUGUGGAGGGGAGAGUACCACGUCGGGAGGAGGUGUGUGGAGGGGAGAGUACCACGUCGGGAGGAGGUGUGUGGAGGGGAGAGUACCACGUCUGGAGGAGGUGUGUAGAGGGGAGAGUACCACGUCGGGAGGAGGUGUGUGGAGGGGAAAUAGAAAAUAGUAUUUACUACAUUUUGUAGCAGCAUUCGUUUAGUGUAUCAAAUAGUC